Molecule: long non-coding RNA, 419 nt
Organism: Oncorhynchus masou masou (cherry salmon)
Lineage: Eukaryota; Metazoa; Chordata; Actinopteri; Salmoniformes; Salmonidae
Exons: 4
Source: RefSeq, a predicted model, not a curated record
UGAGGCGUUGAGUUGCAGUUAUUUUCUCUGUCUGAAACUCUGACAGACUGUUGCACAGAGAGAAGCGGGAGCUGACUGAAGCUAGGCAGGAUGCAGGCUAUCAAAUGUGUUGUUGUGGGAGAUGGAGCUGUGGGGAAAACAUGUCUUCUCAUCAGCUACACAACCAACGCUUUCCCUGGAGAAUAUAUCCCUACUGUCUUUGAUAACUACUCAGCCAAUGUGAUGGUGGACAGUAAGCCAGUCAACCUCGGUCUCUGGGAUACAGCAGGACAGGAGGACUAUGACAGACUGAGACCACUGUCCUACCCACAGACGGAUGUGUUCCUCAUCUGUUUCUCUCUGGUGAGCCCAGCCUCCUACGAGAACGUCAGAGCCAAGGUGAUCCUCUCUAGAUUCUACCUGUAUCUAUCACAUUCAGG